Molecule: ribosomal RNA, 397 nt
Filed under: uncultured bacterium
Lineage: Bacteria
Description: partial 16S ribosomal RNA
Rfam family: Bacterial small subunit ribosomal RNA
Source: RNAcentral
AUACGUAGGGGGCGAGCGUUGUCCGAAUUUACUGGGCGUAAAGGGCGCGUAGGCGGUGAAUUAAGUUGGUGGUGAAAGUCCAAGGCUCAACCUUGGAAUUGCUUCCAAUACUGGUUGACUUGAGGCAUGAAUGGGGAAGUAGAAUUCCGGGUGUAGCGGUGAAAUGCGUAGAUAUUCGGAGGAAUACCGGUGGCGAAGGCGGCUUCCUGGUCAUGUCCUGACGCUGAGGUGCGAAAGCUAGGGUAGCGAACGGGAUUAGAUACCCCGGUAGUCUUAGCCGUAAACGAUGGAUACUAGUUGUCAUAGGUAUCGACCCCUGUGGUGACGAAGCAAACGCAUUAAGUAUCCCGCCUGGGGAGUACGGCCGCAAGGUUGAAACUCAAAUGAAUUGACGGGG